UACGAAGGGUGCAAGCGUUACUCGGAAUUACUGGGCGUAAAGCGUGCGUAGGUGGUUUUUUAAGUCCGUUGUGAAAGCCCUGGGCUCAACCUGGGAAUGGCAGUGGAUACUGGAAAGCUAGAGUGCGGUAGAGGGUAGUGGAAUUCCCGGUGUAGCAGUGAAAUGCGUAGAGAUCGGGAGGAACACCAGUGGCGAAGGCGGUUCUCUGGGACGGUACUGACGCUGAGACGCGAAAGCGUGGGGAGCGAACAGG
RNAcentral lists this ribosomal RNA (253 nucleotides) under uncultured bacterium. Its description in RNAcentral is "partial 16S ribosomal RNA". It matches the Rfam family "Bacterial small subunit ribosomal RNA", at positions 524 to 776 of the family's 1533-position model. The record is from RNAcentral.